UCUGGGGUUGUGGCUCAGUGGCAGAGCGCUUGCCUAGCAUGUGUGAGGCACUGAGUUUGAUUCUCAGCACUGGAA
Molecule: transfer RNA, 75 nt
Filed under: Marmota monax (woodchuck)
Lineage: Eukaryota; Metazoa; Chordata; Mammalia; Rodentia; Sciuridae
Description: tRNA.Ala
Rfam family: tRNA (bases 9-69)
About the family: Transfer RNA (tRNA) molecules are approximately 80 nucleotides in length. Their secondary structure includes four short double-helical elements and three loops (D, anti-codon, and T loops).
Source: RNAcentral